This 253-nucleotide ribosomal RNA is filed under the name uncultured bacterium. RNAcentral describes it as "partial 16S ribosomal RNA". It matches the Rfam family "Bacterial small subunit ribosomal RNA", at positions 524 to 776 of the family's 1533-position model. The record is from RNAcentral.
UACGUAGGGUGCAAGCGUUAAUCGGAAUUACUGGGCGUAAAGCGUGCGCAGGCGGUUUUGCAAGACCGAUGUGAAAUCCCCGGGCUUAACCUGGGAAUGGCAUUGGUGACUGCACGGCUAGAGUGUGUCAGAGGGGGGUAGAAUUCCACGUGUAGCAGUGAAAUGCGUAGAGAUGUGGAGGAAUACCGAUGGCGAAGGCAGCCCCCUGGGAUAACACUGACGCUCAUGCACGAAAGCGUGGGGAGCAAACAGG